UACGAAGGGUGCAAGCGUUACUCGGAAUUACUGGGCGUAAAGCGUGCGUAGGUGGUUCGUUAAGUCUGCCGUGAAAGCCCCGGGCUCAACCUGGGAAUGGCGGUGGAUACUGGCGGACUAGAGUGCGGUAGAGGGUGGUGGAAUUCCCGGUGUAGCAGUGAAAUGCGUAGAGAUCGGGAGGAACAUCUGUGGCGAAGGCGGCCACCUGGACCAACACUGACACUGAGGCGCGAAAGCGUGGGGAGCAAACAGG
RNAcentral lists this ribosomal RNA (253 nucleotides) under uncultured bacterium. RNAcentral's name for it is "partial 16S ribosomal RNA". It matches the Rfam family "Bacterial small subunit ribosomal RNA", at positions 524 to 776 of the family's 1533-position model. The record is from RNAcentral.